UGGGGAAUAUUGGACAAUGGGGGGAACCCUGAUCCAGCAAUGCCGCGUGAGUGAAGAAGGCCUUCGGGUUGUAAAGCUCUUUUGUCAGGGAAGAAACGGUAGUAGCGAAUAACUAUUACUAAUGACGGUACCUGAAGAAUAAGCACCGGCUAACUACGUGCCAGCAGCCGCGGUAAUACGUAGGGUGCAAGCGUUAAUCGGAAUUACUGGGCGUAAAGCGUGCGCAGGCGGUUGUGUAAGUCAGAUGUGAAAUCCCCGGGCUCAACCUGGGAAUUGCAUUUGAGACUGCACGGCUAGAGUGUGUCAGAGGGGGGUAGAAUUCCACGUGUAGCAGUGAAAUGCGUAGAUAUGUGGAGGAAUACCGAUGGCGAAGGCAGCCCCCUGGGAUAACACUGACGCUCAUGCACGAAAGCGUGGGGAGCAAACAGGAUUAGAUACCCGAGUAGUCCCUGAGCGGGCUGGCAAGGCGCAU
Molecule: ribosomal RNA, 472 nt
Filed under: uncultured bacterium
Lineage: Bacteria
Description: bacterial SSU rRNA
Rfam family: Bacterial small subunit ribosomal RNA
Source: RNAcentral